RNAcentral lists this small RNA (28 nucleotides) under Bombyx mori (domestic silkworm). RNAcentral describes it as "ovarian small RNA-33128". The record is from RNAcentral. Lineage: Eukaryota; Metazoa; Arthropoda; Insecta; Lepidoptera; Bombycidae.
UGAUUGGAACUGCGCCCUACAACGAUUU